Long non-coding RNA from Hibiscus syriacus, 291 nucleotides. RefSeq lists it as uncharacterized. The transcript has 3 exons. The record is from RefSeq and is a predicted model, not a curated record. Lineage: Eukaryota; Viridiplantae; Streptophyta; Magnoliopsida; Malvales; Malvaceae.
UUCUAGGAAAGUGUUGGAGAAAAUUGCGUUGAAAGAUACUAGCUUUGGUUGUACUGGGCUGAAGAAAAUGAUGGAGCAUGAACUGAGAUUUCCAUGGAUCGCUCGACUGGAUCGUCUGGACCAUAGAGCAUGGAUCGAGGACAGCAAUAAUACCAACAUUUUGUGGGUAGGCAAGACCUCCUCCCACAGAUUGUCAACCCUGUUAAAUAAGAAGCUGUUGCAACUUGCUGUGGCGGAGUAUGAGUUUCGACAGUCAACAUACAGGAAUGAGUUGGAGGAAGUUACACGGUG